GACGAACGCUGGCGGCAGGCUUAACACAUGCAAGUCGAGCGAGAAGCCUACCUUCGGGUAGGGGGAAAGCGGCAGACGGGUGAGUAACGCGUGGGAACAUGCCCUUCGGUACGGAACAACAGUUAGAAAUGACUGCUAAUACCGUAUGCGACCUCCGGGUGAAAGAUUUAUCGCCGAGGGAUUGGCCCGCGUUGGAUUAGCUUGUUGGUGGGGUAACGGCCUACCAAGGCGACGAUCCAUAGCUGUUCUGAGAGGAAGAUCAGCCACACUGGGACUGAGACACGGCCCAGACUCCUACGGGAGGCAGCAGUGGGGAAUAUUGGACAAUGGGCGCAAGCCUGAUCCAGCCAUGCCGCGUGGAUGAAGAAGGCCCUAGGGUUGUAAAAUCCUUUCGCUAGGGAAGAUAAUGACGGUACCUAGACAAGAAGCCCCGGCUAAUUUCG
This 443-nucleotide ribosomal RNA is filed under the name uncultured Alphaproteobacteria bacterium. RNAcentral's name for it is "bacterial SSU rRNA". It matches the Rfam family "Bacterial small subunit ribosomal RNA", at positions 28 to 505 of the family's 1533-position model. Lineage: Bacteria; Pseudomonadati; Pseudomonadota; Alphaproteobacteria. The record is from RNAcentral.